CCUACGGGGGGCAGCAGUGAGGAAUAUUGGUCAAUGGGCGAGAGUCUGAACCAGCCAAGUCGCGUGAAGGAUGACGGCUCUAUGGUUUGUAAACUUCUUUUAUAUGGGAAUAAAGUGCGGAACGUGUUCCUUUUUGUAUGUACCAUAUGAAUAAGCAUCGGCUAACUCCGUGCCAGCAGCCGCGGUAAUACGGAGGAUGCGAGCGUUAUCCGGAUUUAUUGGGUUUAAAGGGUGCGUAGGUGGUUAAUUAAGUCAGCGGUGAAAGUUUGUGGCUCAACCAUAAAAUUGCCGUUGAAACUGGUUGUCUUGAGUAUAUUAGAGGUAGGCGGAAUGCGUGGUGUAGCGGUGAAAUGCAUAGAUAUCACGCAGAACUCCGAUUGCGAAGGCAGCUUACUAAACUAUAACUGACACUGAAGCACGAAAGCGUGGGGAUCAAACAGGAUUAGAUACCCCAGUAGUC
This 460-nucleotide ribosomal RNA is filed under the name uncultured bacterium. RNAcentral describes it as "partial 16S ribosomal RNA". It matches the Rfam family "Bacterial small subunit ribosomal RNA", at positions 338 to 795 of the family's 1533-position model. The record is from RNAcentral.